This is a long non-coding RNA of Cervus hanglu yarkandensis (Yarkand deer), 3061 nucleotides long. NCBI's taxonomy places the organism in Eukaryota, Metazoa, Chordata, Mammalia, Artiodactyla, Cervidae. The record is from Ensembl.
GGUUGCCAUUUCCUUCUCUAAUGCAUGUAUGCAUGCUAAGUCGCUUCAGUUGUGUCCGACUCUGUGCCAUCCUAUGGAUAGCAGCUCACCAGGCUCCUCUGUCCACGGGAUUCUCUAGGCAAGAAUACUGGAGUGGGUUGCCAUUUUCUUCUCCUUAUUUUAAGAAGAGGUGAUUUCUAAAAUCUUUCCCCACUCCUUCCCUCCACUGGUCGGACUUUCCAGGGCUUCCAAAGCAUCUUGGGUUUCCUCUGCCUCUGCCUUUUUGCUUUAUGUCUGCAUUACUCCCGGUAGCUUACUUCCGUGAGUUACAGGCAGGCAGCGAGAUUUUGCUUUCUUACGCACAAUACUUACAGUGCCGAAUGAAUGAAUGAACGAAGAAAAUGAACUAGUUGUGCAGGAAAUCAGGAAAUCGUUUGCCCAUCCGGGACCCACCAGCCCCCUGAACACUUUGAAUCUGGGCUGCUCAACGGGUCUAAUAAUUCCCGGUUCCACCUGGCCAACUUAGGGAGGUCCCAGAGGCGCACGGGGCCCGGGGCGCGCCUGGAACGCGCCGCAUUGUUAGGGCGAGGAGGCCAGGUGACCGGCCGGCCAGGGCGCGGCGGCGGCGAUUGCCCGUGCCGCCUCGAGGGGGCCCUGCGGCGGGCGCGGCCGCGAGCCAGGAGGACGGGCCCGCCCGCGCACUGCUCGCGCUGUUCGGAGCCCUGCCUGCUGCGGCCAUCGCCCCGCGGGACCGACCGCGCCGCCGCUCGUCCAGACAUCACCAGCUUCCAUCUCCAUGACGCUGUUCUCUUCCCAGCCUGAUAAAUGAGAUGUGGUGUGCCAGCAGUUCAUAGAUCUCAAGCUGGCUGCUGGGAAUAAAGGUACGUACCUGAGGGUGGCGAUGGUGGGUGGGCUGACAUUAAUUAUUGACUCUGCGUGAGGCUCUGUCAGAGGGUGACUCCAUUGUUUCUUCCUUUGUUUGUUCAUUCACUCCCUCACUUAUUGCUCUCAGGCAGCUAGCGUUUACUGAGUGCCAGCUGUGUCCUGGGAUAUGGUUAACCCUCGCAAACUCAGCUGGGCUUGCUGUGGCUUGAUGGCUGAGACAUCAGCUUGGAUGCAGCAGAACAGCGUGGUGCUGGGGGUCCUUAGGACCAUGGGAUUGGGCUGGUGGAGGUCCUGAGGCCCAUGGGAUUGGGGGAUCCUGAGGACCAUGGGGAUGGUGGAGGUCCUGAGGCCCAUGGGAUUGGGGGGCCCUGAGGACCAUNNNNNNNNNNUGGGGCUGUGGAGGUCCUGGGGACCAUGGGAUUGGGGGACCCUGAGGCCCAUGGGGCUGUGGAGGUCCUGAGGCCCAUAGGAUUGGGUGGUGUUGAGGACCGCGAGUUCAGAGCUGGGGAUCCCUCCAUCAUAGCUCUCAUUGUGUCCAUCUCUAGUUACUUCUGACCAUCUGAUUCUGAAUUCUCACUGUCAUUUUGAGAUUGAGGCCACAUCUGUCCGAGGCUGUCUCUCUUGGGGCCAAGGGGCCCUUUGGCUCUUGUGUGAGAGGCUUUUUUGCCAUCAUUCGGGACCCUGGAAACUUAGCAUCAUCUGAAUCUGUGCUUAAGGGUGAAAGGAAAAGGAGACAGACUGUUAAAGACGUACAGACAAACCCAGUGGAUGGUUGUUGAACUUAAAAGACUGCUUUUCAUCCAACCUCUUUUUUGAAAAUGGUCACAUUGGACAGUUGCAUACCCUUCACCUUGAUUUACUGCAGGUUUUUUUUUUUUUUGCCAUUUUGUCACAUUGCCUGUAUCUCUCUCUAUUUUAGUGAUAUCUCUCUUUAUUUACAUAACUUAUGUGUGUAUCAUGAACUUCACCCAUAAAUACUUUAGCCUGUGUUUCUUGAAAACAAGGACACUUUCCUUUAUCCCUCAACCUCAAGACCAUGAUCACUCUAAGCAAUUUAAUUUUGAUUUGUUGACAUCAGCUAAUGUCCGGUUCUUACUUAGAUUUCCCCAUUGGCCCCCCAAUGUACUUUCUUGCUGUCCUUAAUCUGUUCUGAAUCUCAUCAUGGCUUAUGUGUCACACGGUGUGAUUUUCUCUAUCUGUGCCCUGAAAGUGGGAGCAGGCCACCAGCUUUCUCUAUUUAAUAUUAUUAUUAUUUUUUUUCAUGGCUUUUUCCCCCGAAGACAUUUUUUUAAUUAACUUUUUUUAAAUUUUGAGGUAAUUUUCAGGCAGUUGUAUGAAAUAAUACAGAGAGAUCCUAUGUAUCUUGACCCAGUUUCCUCCUAGGAAAACAUCUUGAAAAGCUGCAGGACUAUGUCACAACCAGGAUGUUGUCAUUGAUAGAGUACAGAACAUUCCAUCCCUACAAGGAUCCUUAUAUGCCCUUUAUAGCCAACCCUACUUCCCAUCCAUCUGCACCAAAACUUCAUCCCAACAGUCACUAAUCUUCAGGUCUGUAGUUUUGACAUUUAAAGAAUGUCACAUAAAUGGGAUCAUACAGUUUGUAAAUUUUUGGAAUUGGCUUCUUCCAGUCAGCAUAGUUCUCUGGAGAUCCAUCCAGGUUGUUGCUCUAUCGGUAGUUCAUUCUGCUUCAUUGCUGAGUGCUGCUCUGUGCUGUGGGUUGAUUACUGUUUCUUCACUGGUUGAAGGUCUUCUCUGCUGAUUUGUGUCUUUAAUCCAUGAACAUGGCAUGUCUCUCCAGUUGUUUAGAUCUUUGAUUUUGUUCACUUAGCUUUGUGUAGAUUUUAGCAUGUAAGUCCUAUAUAAGUUUUGUUAGAUUUACACCCAAGUAGUUACUUUUCUUUGAGUGAUUGUAAAUGGUACUGUAUUUUUCAUUCUGGCCUCCCUGUGAUCAUUGCUAGUACGUGAAAGUGAAGUCACUCAGUCAUGUCCAACUCUUUGUGACCCCAUGGACUGUAGCCUACCAGGCUCCUCCAUCCAUGGGAUUUUCCAGGCAAGAGUACUGGAGUGGGUUGCCAUUUCCUUCUCCAGGAGAUCUUCCCAACCCAAGGAUAAAACCUGGAUCUCCCACAUUGCAGGCAGACGCUUUACUGGCUGAGCCACUAGAGAAGAACAGUACUUAGAAGUACUAUCAACUUAU